RNAcentral lists this long non-coding RNA (554 nucleotides) under Gossypium barbadense (sea-island cotton). Its description in RNAcentral is "long non-coding RNA (GBAR_LNC012064)". The record is from RNAcentral. Lineage: Eukaryota; Viridiplantae; Streptophyta; Magnoliopsida; Malvales; Malvaceae.
UAUGGAGAGCCACAAAAAUGAGGACAGUUCACUUUGUAAAAAGUGUAAAGAGCCCCUAAAUUAGAAAUUUUAAAGAGAGUUUUAGUUAAGGUUGUUUGUGUUCUCAUAUCUCUUUUCCUAGUGUCAAGGAGUAUUUAUAGAGAGUGAGAGGUGGGCCCAAUCAUCGAGUAUAAGCCUUGUGAUAUUAUGGCAGGUGUCAAUCUAUGAUCAUGAAGGGGCCAAAUGAGGGAAUUGUUAGAUGCAACGGUUUGAUGAAUGUCUUCAUGAGGUCUUCCCAAUAUAUCUUCUACAGAUCGUGUGAACCUCGAGGAUAAAUGCUUGAACAAGGACUCAAGGUUUGAACCUAUAAAGUGAAGGAACCAGAGAGUUAUGUCGCCGUAGCUUAGGUGAGGGCAUGAAGAUGAGCUUUUGUAGCGAAAGUCCUUAUGGAUCAUUUCGAGGGAUCAAUUCAAUUUUAUUUAACACAUAACUACAUAUAAAUAUAUAUUAAAUACAUAUUGUCAAAAUUAAUAAGUGGUUAGAAGAAAUGAAAGUGGGUAUCUUCUUCAUCAGGG